RNAcentral lists this long non-coding RNA (1549 nucleotides) under Homo sapiens (human). RNAcentral's name for it is "HSALNT0357861". Lineage: Eukaryota; Metazoa; Chordata; Mammalia; Primates; Hominidae. The record is from RNAcentral.
GUUCUAUAAAGGAAACUUCCCUAGAAAGAAACCACUUCUAAAUGGAAUAAUUAAAAUAAUUUGUUAGAAACUUUAAGUUACCCUAUGAGCUCCUAGUAACACUGUUUUCAAGCUCAUAGGUUAAUUGUUAAGCCCUUUUGCUCCGAGUUGAACUGAUCAAAUGGCUCUGUGUAAAAGGUAACAGUGUAGAAUCCUCUUUGAGAAAUAGCAUGUAAACUUGGGAGAAAUGGCCUAAGCCCACGGUUCUCAAGUCACUGAGACAGUUGAAAAAGCCCCCUCAGGUGGUGAGAAUGGGAUAAUAUUUUAUUAUAUCUCUAAGAUGCCUCAAAUCCAAAGAGAUAAUUAAAUUUGGAAUUUUAUUAGUUUCACCUAAUAGUUGUAUAAAAGCUGAAUAUUUAAGGAUCUCCUUUAUCAGGCACUGAGAUGCUUUGUAUACAUUACUUCAUUUAGUUUUCACAAUAGUCCUAAGAGGUGGAGGUAUUUUUGACCCUGUUUUAUAGUUGAAGAACAGGCUCAGUAAGGUUAUAUUACCUGCUCCAAAUUUCACAGCUAGUUAAUUUAGUUUAUGUUGGAAGUUAGCAUUUAAGGUUGGUUAUUUUUCCUAUGUGGCUCCAAUUGCUCCUAAAAUGGUGUUGAUUUUUCUGUUUAAAAUGAUCCAGAGGAGGUUCUUGGUUCAAAGCAGAUUUUUAAGUGAUUUAAAAGUGCCUCAUUGUCCCAGCGCCAAAUUAUCAAAGUUCAAGGAAUUAUGCAUUUACUCUAGAAGGCUACGGCUUUCAAAUAUUAACUGAGAAAGCCCUACUCUUAAUGAGCUCGUUAAUGCACAUGGCCGCCUUAGUGUUGCUGAACUCCGGUAACUUUCUUCUGCUUUUUUUCUGAAGACCUUUUAAUUCAGGGUGUGCAUUUUCCUCUUGCGUGUCACAAGUGCUAUUCAGGCUUUCUCUAGUUGAAUCCCCUGUUUGUGAGUGCAUACCUGCAGUAUUUUAUAUGCUAAGUGAAAUAUUUUUAAAUUUACGUUAGCACCUAGAUUAGCGUUGAACCUGUUUUAAGAAUGGCAGAGUCUUGCUCUGUUGCCCAGGCUGGAGUGCAGCAUCAUGAUCUCGACUCACUGCAACCUCAAGCAGUCUUCCCACCUCAGCCUGCUGAGUAGCUGAGACUACAGUGCACAGUGUCAGGCCACACAGGAAGACACAGAACAUAUUUUUGUUCCAUGCCCACUAUGCAUCCUUCUCAUGGUAAUUUGGCCACUUCAUGUAACUAUGCUUUUCAGAGAUCUGCCAUCAGACAUGCCAGCAAACAACCCACCUGAUGGUUUACAUUCUCACAAUAAGGUAUUCAGCUCGAGUUUUUACUUUAAUGUCACCACAAGUGUGGUCAGUAUGAAUGCUUUUCUGAUCAUUGUAUUUAUAAAUUUGCAAGACUAAAGGACAGCCUUGGACUAUGUGAGUCUCCCCAGAUAACACUGCACUCUAAGGACCAGCUGGCUUCCCCAGGUUUGCUUGUCUUCACCUUGAAUGCCCUUUCCUAUCUGACUUGCAACACAAGAGUGUCA